Arachis ipaensis is the source of this 663-nucleotide non-coding RNA. The record is from RefSeq and is a predicted model, not a curated record. Lineage: Eukaryota; Viridiplantae; Streptophyta; Magnoliopsida; Fabales; Fabaceae.
CUCUCUCAACAAACCUGGAAUCCUCUGUUUACUGAUUUGGCCUCAUAUGGAUAAAAAUUUCAGAAUCCCCAUUUUCUGAUUUGCCCUCAUUUGCUUAAGAUUUCAUAUUUCUGCUUGAUCAUUUGUUUAAAAUUUCUGUUGCACGUGUUCUUCUUGUAUAUUUGUAUAUAUCUGUUUGUUUCCUUCAAUCCCAAAUCCGAAUAUUGGUAUUAAGUAUUAACUAUGUCAUUAUGCAGCCUGAACUAGAUAUCAAUCUUUCUGAUGUGAAAUCUCAAAUAAUCAGCCUCAAUAAUCCUGGAAUCUUUGAGGCAAACCAGCAGCCUAUUUAACAAUGGUAUCUACAAGUAGAAGAUCUCAAGUGGUUCCUACGGCAGCGGCAGUUCUAAUGCAAUGGGCGAAUGUUUUUGCGAGUGUGGUUUAAGAGCUCUCGUGAUUUAGUUCCAAUUUGAAGUUGAUCGAACAAGUUGAAAAACUGCAGAAUGAAAUUGUAUUUCUGACAUUUUUAGCGUUCUUUCAAAUUUUUUGUUUUGUAGUUUGUAUUGUUUUGAUCAUAGUACUGUUUUUUAAGUUCUAGUAUGAAAUCCAGAUUGAAACAGGCAUAUGGAUAAAUUGUAUAAAUUAGUUUACUGUAAUGAAAUACUCUUUCCUUCUUACUAUUGCAAA